GCCAAGCCUAGGGUAGCUCCCGAACGGUCGGAAGCCUUCGCCGGCCUGGCUUGGUGUUUUUCUAUGAAGG
RNAcentral lists this small RNA (70 nucleotides) under Tenderia electrophaga (SeqCode). Its description in RNAcentral is "Candidatus Tenderia electrophaga int-alpA RNA". It matches the Rfam family "int-alpA RNA". Rfam says of the family: Acidobacteria (1 example), Planctomycetes (1 example), Proteobacteria. Environment (Lake Washington) Lineage: Bacteria; Pseudomonadati; Pseudomonadota; Gammaproteobacteria; Tenderiales (SeqCode); Tenderiaceae (SeqCode). The record is from Rfam by way of RNAcentral.